GGAAAUAGAAAGACACUAUGGAUCAACCAGAAAUCUCUAGAGCUAACUCCAAAUAAACAGAUGACUUAAGAAUAGAGAUAAGUACUGAAAAAUUAACAGUAGCAGCUCCACCAACCAUUCUUUCAUCUUAACUUAUUUUUGUAAAAAAAAAUCUAAAUUUGAAAAUAAAAGAGAGAGGAGGAAGUCCACGAGAAGUAUGUUUUAGAGACCCGAAACCCUGCCUGACCAGUGUUGUUUUUGAUGGGGGUCAGCAGGUCUAUUUGUUAGGCACAAAUAACGGCUUUGAGAUCACAAGAGGAGUGGAUGCAGCAGAGGCAGUGAACACAGGAGUUGCACAGACAAGAACAAAGGAAGGCCAAGAAAAUGUGAAAAGAAGGAACCAGACUCAAGAACAAGGGAACAGAAUAUUCAGAGGCUGAGAUGAAGACUGACCAACUGUCUACAUGUGACCAGGAGACUGAAAAAUAGACAUGAGUGCUGGAAUAGGACACACUGUCUAAAACAGUACCAGUCAGCCUUAUAGAUAAUGGAAGUAGAUUUUCUGAUAAAUUUAUUACAAUUAUUGCUCAGGGAUUGGCACUGCAAAACUGCAUUCAGACUGUCUUCCUCUUUCAUCUGUCUAUCAAAAGCAUUGUUUCCAUAAAUCAGAUUCAAGAAAUACAUUACUAGUUCAUAGGGAUCCAUACGUGUGUGGUUCCACUGCAGUUGCAAUUCAAGAGUAAUUCAGUUUUUAAUUUUACAGGUUCUGUAAGAAAAAGCACAGUAGUGUAUAUGAACGUGUAUAUGCUGAACAAUCAUUUUGUUACGUCUCUGAGUCGUUGCCUAUACGCACAUGCAUACUACGUAUGACUCAAAAUGGAUCUCGGACAUAUGCUGUACAAACCAGAAAGUGCAGGCCCAAACUAGCCAGCACUUAUCAGUUACACAAUGCACUGAGUUAUUAUAUUGUUUGAUAAAUUGCAUUUGAGUGAAGGUAGCUGUUUGGUAUCAGUAAUGGCAACACUACUGACUCCUCUUGUAUCAUUACUACCUACAGAUACCUACUUAUGAAGGCAGAGCUUUUGUUGAAAUCUAGUGAGUGUUCAGGAUAGUCUCCUGUCUCUCUGGAUAGUCUCUUAUGUCUCACUGGACACCAAUACAACUCAUUUAUCCAGUUUAAGACUCUCUAGCAGGAGAUAAUAAUACAUAUAGUUUUCCUAGUUGCCAGCAGAAACAACCUUGGAGACUGCUUUCUGUGGAGAAAAGCAAAGCCCUUUCGAAAUUGCUGAAGAAGGAUUCCAGUUUUUGGAUAUAAAGUUUUGUGUGGAAUACAGGUAGACUAGUUCUCUGAAUGAGAUGUAUCUCAGAAAGUGCAGAGAUCACAUAAAUAUACACUCUCUGCAAAGACAUAGUACCUGCCAUAGAGCUCAUUUUAUUUUAUUUUUUUUACUUUCCUGGUGAUACUAUUAAAACUAGAAAGAUGUUUGAACAGCUUAAAGAGAUGCAAUGUUGACACUGCCAGGAGCUUGAGAAAUGAGCUCUCAGAGAUUCAGUUAUCUCAUGAAGAAGAUCCCCAGAAAGGGGAAGAUGAUAAAGGCAAAGCAUACAUAAUACAAUCUUGUGCCAUGAGUUCAUAAACUGAUGGGAGCAUGUAGAAAAGACUUUGCUAAUGGGUUACAUAGAGAAACUGAGGGAGCCAGGAUCUCCUGCGCAAGGUCACUGAGCAAAUGACCUUUCAGGGGCUUUGAAGACUUGGGAUGUGAGAACUUUGGUGGUACCCAAAGACACAGUGCAUUCCAGAUACAGAGCUGAAUAAAAGGCUUCCAGUCUCACUACUCAGGGAGCAACUCCAGCACCUACUUGUGCAGUAAUUUUUUGAAUGUUUAGCCACUGGAUAGAUGA
Gallus gallus (chicken) is the source of this 1881-nucleotide long non-coding RNA. The record is from Ensembl. NCBI's taxonomy places the organism in Eukaryota, Metazoa, Chordata, Aves, Galliformes, Phasianidae.